This 403-nucleotide ribosomal RNA is filed under the name bacterium. Its description in RNAcentral is "partial 16S ribosomal RNA". It matches the Rfam family "Bacterial small subunit ribosomal RNA", at positions 355 to 776 of the family's 1533-position model. The record is from RNAcentral.
UGGGGAAUAUUGCACAAUGGGGGAAACCCUGAUGCAGCGUCGCCGCGUGAACGAAGAAGGUAUUCGUAUCGUAAAGUUCUGUCCUAUGGGAAGAUAAUGACAGUACCAUAGAAGAAAGCUCCGGCUAAAUACGUGCCAGCAGCCGCGGUAAUACGUAUGGAGCGAGCGUUGUCCGGAAUUAUUGGGCGUAAAGGGUACGCAGGCGGUUUAAUAAGUCGAAUGUUAAAGAUCGGGGCUCAACCCCGCAAAGCAUUGGAAACUGAUAAACUUGAGUAGUGGAGAGGAAAGUGGAAUUCCUAGUGUAGUGGUGAAAUACGUAGAUAUUAGGAGGAAUACCAGUAGCGAAGGCGACUUUCUGGACACAAACUGACGCUGAGGUACGAAAGCGUGGGGAGCAAACAGG